This 391-nucleotide ribosomal RNA is filed under the name uncultured bacterium. RNAcentral describes it as "bacterial SSU rRNA". It matches the Rfam family "Bacterial small subunit ribosomal RNA", at positions 419 to 810 of the family's 1533-position model. The record is from RNAcentral.
UGGNUUGNNACUGCUUUUGNCAGGAAGAAACACUCGGACGUGUCCGAGCUUGACGGUACUGUGAGAAUAAGGAUCGGCUAACUCCGUGCCAGCAGCCGCGGUAAUACGGAGGAUCCAAGCGUUAUCCGGAAUCAUUGGGUUUAAAGGGUCCGUAGGCGGUUUGGUAAGUCAGUGGUGAAAGCCCAUCGCUCAACGGUGGAACGGCCAUUGAUACUGCUAGACUUGAAUUAUUAGGAAGUAACUAGAAUAUGUAGUGUAGCGGUGAAAUGCUUAGAGAUUACAUGGAAUACCAAUUGCGAAGGCAGGUUACUACUAAUGGAUUGACGCUGAUGGACGAAAGCGUGGGUAGCGAACAGGAUUAGAUACCCUGGUAGUCCAAGGGCGAAUUCNC